GUGCCCGCUUUGGCAGCACAGAUACUAAUAUUGGAACAAUACGGAGAAGACUGGCCUGGGAGUUCCCGUCGUGGCUCAGUGGUUAAUGAACCCAAUGAGUAUCCAUGAGGAUGCGGGUUCGAUCCCUGGCUUCGCUCAGAGGGUUGGGGAUCUGGCGUUACCGUGAGCUGUGUCACAGACGCAGCUUGAAUCCCACGUUGCUGUGGUCGUGGCCUAGGCCGGCGGCUAUAGCUCCAGUUCGACCCCUAGCCUGGAAACUUCCCUAUGAUGCAGGUUAGGCACUAAAAAGACACACACACACACACACAUACACAAACACACACAAAAAGAUUAGCCUGGCUCCUGCACCAGAAUGACAUGCAAAUUUGUGAAGCCUUCCAUACUUUA
This 387-nucleotide small nuclear RNA is filed under the name Catagonus wagneri (Chacoan peccary). Lineage: Eukaryota; Metazoa; Chordata; Mammalia; Artiodactyla; Tayassuidae. The record is from RNAcentral.